CAAACUGGAGAUGGCGACCGGCGCACGGGUGAGUAACACGUAUCCAACCUGCCGAUAACUCGGGGAUAGCCUUUCGAAAGAAAGAUUAAUACCCGAUAGCAUAUAUUUCCCGCAUGGGUUUUAUAUUAAAGAAAUUCGGUAUGAGAUGGGGAUGCGUUCCAUUAGUUUGUUGGGGGGUAACGGCCCACCAAGACUACGAUGGAUAGGGGUUCUGAGAGGAAGGUCCCCCACACUGGUACUGAGACACGGACCAG
RNAcentral lists this ribosomal RNA (254 nucleotides) under uncultured bacterium. RNAcentral's name for it is "partial 16S ribosomal RNA". It matches the Rfam family "Bacterial small subunit ribosomal RNA", at positions 77 to 334 of the family's 1533-position model. The record is from RNAcentral.